Molecule: microRNA, 21 nt
Filed under: Populus trichocarpa (black cottonwood)
Lineage: Eukaryota; Viridiplantae; Streptophyta; Magnoliopsida; Malpighiales; Salicaceae
Also listed under: 1 other name
Description: ptc-miR475a-3p
Gene: ptc-miR475a-3p
Source: miRBase by way of RNAcentral
UUACAGUGCCCAUUGAUUAAG